RNAcentral lists this ribosomal RNA (68 nucleotides) under uncultured fungus. RNAcentral's name for it is "partial 18S ribosomal RNA". It matches the Rfam family "Eukaryotic small subunit ribosomal RNA", at positions 1764 to 1831 of the family's 1831-position model. Lineage: Eukaryota; Fungi. The record is from RNAcentral.
CUUGGUCAUUUAGAGGAAGUAAAAGUCGUAACGAGGUCUCCGUUGGUGAACCAGCGGAGGGAUCAUUA